CCUACGGGAGGCAGCAGUAAGGAAUAUUGGGCAAUGGACGGAAGUCUGACCCAGCCAUGCCGCGUGGAGGAUGAAGGUCCUCUGGAUUGUAAACUUCUUUUAUCUGGGGCGAAAAAAGCCUUUUCUAAGGCGCUUGACAGUACCAGAUGAAUAAGCACCGGCUAACUCCGUGCCAGCAGCCGCGGUAAUACGGAGGGUGCAAGCGUUAUCCGGAUUCACUGGGUUUAAAGGGUGCGUAGGUGGGCUUGUAAGUCAGUGGUGAAAUCCCCGAGCUUAACUUGGGAACUGCCGUUGAUACUAUAAGUCUUGAAUAUCGUGGAGGUAAGCGGAAUAUGUCAUGUAGCGGUGAAAUGCUUAGAUAUGACAUAGAACACCAAUUGCGAAGGCAGCUUGCUACACGACCAUUGACACUGAGGCACGAAAGCGUGGGGAUCAAACAGGAUUAGAUACCCCAGUAGUC
This 460-nucleotide ribosomal RNA is filed under the name uncultured bacterium. Its description in RNAcentral is "bacterial SSU rRNA". It matches the Rfam family "Bacterial small subunit ribosomal RNA", at positions 338 to 795 of the family's 1533-position model. The record is from RNAcentral.